AGAGUUUGAUCCUGGCUCAGGAUGAACGCUGGCGGCGUGCCUAAUACAUGCAAGUCGAGCGAACGGACGAGAAGCUUGCUUCUCUGAUGUUAGCGGCGGACGGGUGAGUAACACGUGGAUAACCUACCUAUAAGACUGGGAUAACUUCGGGAAACCGGAGCUAAUACCGGAUAAUAUUUUGAACCGCAUGGUUCAAAAGUGAAAGACGGUCUUGCUGUCACUUAUAGAUGGAUCCGCGCUGCAUUAGCUAGUUGGUAAGGUAACGGCUUACCAAGGCAACGAUGCAUAGCCGACCUGAGAGGGUGAUCGGCCACACUGGAACUGAGACACGGUCCAGACUCCUACGGGAGGCAGCAGUAGGGAAUCUUCCGCAAUGGGCGAAAGCCUGACGGAGCAACGCCGCGUGAGUGAUGAAGGUCUUCGGAUCGUAAAACUCUGUUAUUAGGGAAGAACAUAUGUGUAAGUAACUGUGCACAUCUUGACGGUACCUAAUCAGAAAGCCACGGCUAACUACGUGCCAGCAGCCGCGGUAAUACGUAGGUGGCAAGCGUUAUCCGGAAUUAUUGGGCGUAAAGCGCGCGUAGGCGGUUUUUUAAGUCUGAUGUGAAAGCCCACGGCUCAACCGUGGAGGGUCAUUGGAAACUGGAAAACUUGAGUGCAGAAGAGGAAAGUGGAAUUCCAUGUGUAGCGGUGAAAUGCGCAGAGAUAUGGAGGAACACCAGUGGCGAAGGCGACUUUCUGGUCUGUAACUGACGCUGAUGUGCGAAAGCGUGGGGAUCAAACAGGAUUAGAUACCCUGGUAGUCCACGCCGUAAACGAUGAGUGCUAAGUGUUAGGGGGUUUCCGCCCCUUAGUGCUGCAGCUAACGCAUUAAGCACUCCGCCUGGGGAGUACGACCGCAAGGUUGAAACUCAAAGGAAUUGACGGGGACCCGCACAAGCGGUGGAGCAUGUGGUUUAAUUCGAAGCAACGCGAAGAACCUUACCAAAUCUUGACAUCCUUUGACAACUCUAGAGAUAGAGCCUUCCCCUUCGGGGGACAAAGUGACAGGUGGUGCAUGGUUGUCGUCAGCUCGUGUCGUGAGAUGUUGGGUUAAGUCCCGCAACGAGCGCAACCCUUAAGCUUAGUUGCCAUCAUUAAGUUGGGCACUCUAAGUUGACUGCCGGUGACAAACCGGAGGAAGGUGGGGAUGACGUCAAAUCAUCAUGCCCCUUAUGAUUUGGGCUACACACGUGCUACAAUGGACAAUACAAAGGGCAGCGAAACCGCGAGGUCAAGCAAAUCCCAUAAAGUUGUUCUCAGUUCGGAUUGUAGUCUGCAACUCGACUACAUGAAGCUGGAAUCGCUAGUAAUCGUAGAUCAGCAUGCUACGGUGAAUACGUUCCCGGGUCUUGUACACACCGCCCGUCACACCACGAGAGUUUGUAACACCCGAAGCCGGUGGAGUAACCUUUUAGGAGCUAG
This 1464-nucleotide ribosomal RNA is filed under the name Staphylococcus aureus. RNAcentral's name for it is "bacterial SSU rRNA". It matches the Rfam family "Bacterial small subunit ribosomal RNA". Lineage: Bacteria; Bacillati; Bacillota; Bacilli; Caryophanales; Staphylococcaceae. The record is from RNAcentral.